This 400-nucleotide long non-coding RNA is filed under the name Elaeis guineensis (African oil palm). Its description in RNAcentral is "long non-coding RNA (EGUI_LNC062995)". Lineage: Eukaryota; Viridiplantae; Streptophyta; Magnoliopsida; Arecales; Arecaceae. The record is from RNAcentral.
CUACUGUGAGCAGUCUACUCCGAACCCUUACAACGGACGACCUACCUCGGAUUCCUACCGUAAGCAAAUCCCAUCCGAGCCUCUGCUGUAAACAUAUUCCUCCCGAAAUUCCAUUACAGGUAUACUUCAACCGAGCUUCUUCGUAGUCGGGUCCCGUGACAACCGAUCUUCGAUCGAGCUUCUACAAUUGGACAGGACCCAUCGGCCAGGUCACUACUCUGAGCUCCCACGAUAACUGACCUUCAACCGAGCUUCUACAAUAAGCGAUCUCCUUUCAGCCUUCUACAAGAACCAGACUUCGACCGAACCUCCAUAGCGGUUGGAUAUUGGAUGAGCUUCUAUGAUGAUCAGGCUCCAUCAGCUGGAUUCCUACAACGAUCGAUCGCCUCCGAUGUCUGCC